This is a non-coding RNA of Phascolarctos cinereus (koala), 1533 nucleotides long. NCBI's taxonomy places the organism in Eukaryota, Metazoa, Chordata, Mammalia, Diprotodontia, Phascolarctidae. The record is from RefSeq and is a predicted model, not a curated record.
CCCCGAUCUGAUAGAGGUUACACAGGUACGAUCAUAUUAAGCAUAUUUCCACAUUAGUCAUGUUGUGAAAGAAGAAUCAGAACAAAAGGGGAAAACCAUGAGAAAACAAAAGCAAUGGAAAAGUGAAAACAGUCUGCUGCGAUCUGCAUUCAGACGCUGGCUUUUCCUCUGGACGAGCUCGUCAUUUCCCAUCACGGGUCUUUCGGAAUUGCGCCAGUUGUUGGCGGGGUUUUGUUCCUGGCGGAGUCGGACCAUGAGGGACCUUCCUGAGUUCUGGUGGUUCUGAAAAGGGCAGGACGAUGGGUGGGGUGGGCAGGGAGGGGGAGGCUGAGAAGAGGCAUCUGGAGUCCACGUGGGAUCACUGGAGGUUCAGGCGGGGCUCCUCACUGGGAGAUACGAGUCCAGGCUCACCCCCACCCCAUUCCUCCCUCUCGUAAUGACUUCCUGGUGCUUAGGACUGACUGCACAUAUGAGUUGUCCCUCCCACCUCUGUCCCCUGGCAAAAAGUCAGCUCUGGACAUCCCGCCUGGGUGCAGGACCUGUCCCACCUUUUCCCUUGUAUCCCCAGAAAGGGGCCUGGUGUAUGGGAGGUACUAAAUCAGUGCUGGUAAAAUCGAACUGAUCUGAAUUGACUUGAUCUGACCCUAAUAAAUGUUGACUGACUGAAGAAAGCAGCCUGGUGAAGGGGGCAGAGGAUGGAGGGGGAUGGGCUUGGCCUGGCUCAGCUCCUCCUGAGUGGCCCCCCAGGCUCCAGGCAAUAACAAGGCUGAAGCGUGGCCCACAGAAAUGGCUGUAGCCACCGCGUUCUGGGACGUUGGUGACUGUGUCACUGUGCUGACGAGCUUAAGGUCUUUCCGGCAACUUCCUUAUCGGCCAUCCCUGCCUGGUUUGGGUAUCUGCCAGUACAGUUCUGAUGAAUGGGUAUGGCUAAGUAGUAAAAUCCCUGCUCAGAGUCCCCUUUGGUGCAGAAGGCCUUUAACAUACCCUAUUUUCCCCUCCUUUCCUCCUUGGGAGGAUACUCCCAAAUUCUUAACAGCAAGAGUGGUCCAAAAGUGGAAGGGGCUGUCUCAGUAGGUACUGGGCCUCCCUGGAGGCUGCCGGCGGGAGUCAGCUUUUUGGGGUUGGGGAGAGCCAUUUGUUAAAUGUUUGGUGGGAGCAUUUACACUUCAGAAGUUGGCAAACACUAUAAAUCAGAGUCUGAUGUCUUGUUUUGUUAAUUAAAGAAGAUAUGGGUAAUACAGAGCAGGUUAUUAAACACCAGCACACCCCAACUCCCCCCUCUAGAGGCAAGUCAGUGAAUCAAACCACAAGCAUUCAUUCUGUGCCUGCUCACAGCCUAGAAGGGUGUGCUGAGUGUGGCAGUGCAUGAAGAGCAGUCCUCUUCUUCACCCAGAGAGAGCUCCUGGAACAUCAGUGUGGCAGCUGGAGGGGAGAGAGAUCGGAGGCUUUAGCAGCUGAGGAAGCCACUUCAACAGGCCAGGCCCAAGGUGACGAGGACCCGAAGGAUGGAGGCGAGAAAUACCUGGGAAGACU